Molecule: long non-coding RNA, 437 nt
Organism: Dermacentor silvarum
Lineage: Eukaryota; Metazoa; Arthropoda; Arachnida; Ixodida; Ixodidae
Exons: 3
Source: RefSeq, a predicted model, not a curated record
GGUAGCAUCAAAGGGUGUUUGGUCCAAGUUUGUCAUGGGCUUACGUGGCUGGAUGCCAUGGCAAACUGCCCGCACUCUGGAGCUUGCCAGCUGGGCUGGUAGCUUGCAAGAAUCCUGUAGAAGACAACAAAGAUGUUACUUGCACACUGAAGAAAAGCCAUGCACAGCCACACAGUGAGAAUAACUGCAGUGGCCCACCCGUGACCCACGCUGCAAACAUGUUAAAAAGUUAAGUGCAUUUCAGCAGGUCCCACAGCUUGGCAGCCUUGCUCAGUGCUUGUGAUGAGCGGUUACGACCCGUCCCCAUGCAGGUUGACGUGAAUCCAGGUUGAAAAUCUUGCAUUGGCUUCUUGCUCUGCAUGUGAACUAGUUGUGACGACCAUGGUUGGGUCAGUAUCUGGCUAGUUGACUGUUGAGCUUGCAAAAGUGUGACACCG